AUAGGCCUUGCGUAGAGUGGUGCAGUAUUCUAGUCGGCCUACCAAUGCUGAAGGCGGGCCUAAAAAUUCGCUAAAGGGCACAUCGAUGAAGUUCCUGGUGUUGGCUUUCGACGCCCAGUCGGGGGCUGAUGCUGGGAGUUAAGGUUGUGGGGCGAUCCACAAUGGCAUGUGGGCGUUGACCCCGCUUCCGCGGAGGCCCAAGUGCGUGGUAUGACGCCCUCGAGCGUCGCAUUACGGCUUGGGGUAUGAACCUACAUUACGAGUCGCACAUUGCAAUUCUUCAUUCUAUUAUGAAGCGUGAUGUACGUACCCGGCUUGUUUGUAGCGUAGCCUGCCUUGAGUGAGUCUGCGGGGAUUGCGGAUGUGUAGAUUCGGUGGACUUCGGCCAAAGAACGCAUGAAUCGUAUGCCGUAUGAAAUCUGGUUUGCAAAAGAGGCUAGGGGUUGGUUCAGGGCUGCUCGAGGAAAACUCCUAGACUGUUCACUUGCGUGAAGCUUCUUAAGGAUUAUAGUGUGGACUAAGUGGUAAUUCAGUCUGGCGAUUGGUGACAACGUCAAGGCGCUCUUAAUUGGAAACGGCCUGCUCGGCGACGAGGAGGCGAGCACCUGGGAAAACCUACUGGACCUAAGCCACAGCGUUUACUUGAGAAGUUGCCACUCUCAACUUUACGUAA
Molecule: small RNA, 673 nt
Filed under: Paenibacillus alvei
Lineage: Bacteria; Bacillati; Bacillota; Bacilli; Caryophanales; Paenibacillaceae
Source: RNAcentral